CUACGGGACGCUCCAGUGGGGAAUAUUGCACAAUGGAGGAAACUCUGAUGCAGCAACGCCGCGUGGAGGAUGACACUUUUCGGAGCGUAAACUCCUUUUAUAUAGGAAGAUAAUGACGGUACUAUAUGAAUAAGCACCGGCUAACUCCGUACCAGCAGCCGCGGUAAUACGGAGGGUGCAAGCGUUACUCGGAAUCACUGGGCGUAAAGAGCGUGUAGGCGGGUUAAUAAGUCAGAAGUGAAAUCCUAUGGCUCAACCAUAGAACUGCUUUUGAAACUGUUAACCUAGAAUAUGGGAGAGGUAGAUGGAAUUUCUGGUGUAGGGGUAAAAUCCGUAGAGAUCAGAAGGAAUACCGAUUGCGAAGGCGAUCUACUGGAACAUUACUGACGCUGAGACGCGAAAGCGUGGGGAGCAAACAGGAUUAGAUACCCCCGUAGUC
RNAcentral lists this ribosomal RNA (439 nucleotides) under uncultured bacterium. RNAcentral describes it as "partial 16S ribosomal RNA". It matches the Rfam family "Bacterial small subunit ribosomal RNA", at positions 339 to 795 of the family's 1533-position model. The record is from RNAcentral.